RNAcentral lists this ribosomal RNA (981 nucleotides) under uncultured bacterium. RNAcentral describes it as "bacterial SSU rRNA". It matches the Rfam family "Bacterial small subunit ribosomal RNA", at positions 510 to 1502 of the family's 1533-position model. The record is from RNAcentral.
AGCAGCCGCGGUAAUACGAAGGGACCUAGCGUAGUUCGGAAUUACUGGGCUUAAAGAGUUCGUAGGUGGUUGAAAAAGUUAGUGGUGAAAUCCCAGAGCUUAACUCUGGAACUGCCAUUAAAACUUUUCAGCUAGAGUAUGAUAGAGGAAAGCAGAAUUUCUAGUGUAGAGGUGAAAUUCGUAGAUAUUAGAAAGAAUACCAAUUGCGAAGGCAGCUUUCUGGAUCAUUACUGACACUGAGGAACGAAAGCAUGGGUAGCGAAGAGGAAUAGAUACCCUCGUAGUCCAUGCCGUAAACGAUGUGUGUUAGACGUUGGAAAUUUAUUUUCAGUGUCGCAGCGAAAGCGAUAAACACACCGCCUGGGGAGUACGACCGCAAGGUUAAAACUCAAAUGAAUUGACGGGGACCCGCACAAGUAGUGGAGCAUGUGGUUUAAUUCGAAGAUACGCGCAGAACCUUACCAACACUUGACAUGUUCGUCGCGACUCUAAGAGAUUAGAGUUUUCGGUUCGGCCGGACGAAACACAGGUGCUGCAUGGCUGUCGUCAGCUCGUGUCGUGAGAUGUUGGGUUAAGUCCCGCAACGAGCGCAACCCUCACUUUUAGUUGCCAUCAUUUAGUUGGGCACUCUGAAAGAACUGCCAGUGAUAAGCUGGAGGAAGGUGGGGAUGACGUCAAGUCCUCAUGGCCCUUACGUGUUGGGCUACACACGUGCUACAAUGGUAUCUACAACAGGAAGCAAAACGGCGACGUUAAGCAAAUCCUUAAAAGAUACCUCAGUUCGGAUUGCACUCUGCAACUCGAGUGCAUGAAGCUGGAAUUACUAGUAAUCGUGGAUCAGCGUGCCACGGUGAAUGCGUUCCCGGGUCUUGUACACACCGCCCGUCACACCAUGGGAGUUGGUUCUACCUUAAGGCAAGGUUUCAAACCCUUGACCACGGUAUAGUCAGCGACUGGGGUGAAGUCGUAACAAGGUAGCCG